RNAcentral lists this ribosomal RNA (813 nucleotides) under uncultured bacterium. Its description in RNAcentral is "bacterial SSU rRNA". It matches the Rfam family "Bacterial small subunit ribosomal RNA", at positions 8 to 796 of the family's 1533-position model. The record is from RNAcentral.
AGAGUUUGAUCCUGGCUCAGAACGAACGCUGGCGGCGUGGAUAAGACAUGCAAGUCGAACGAGACUUUUCGUUGUAGCAAUACGAUGGAAAGUUUAGUGGCGAACGGGUGCUUAACACGUGGGCAACCUGCCAUGAAGUGGGGGAUAGCUCGCCGAAAGGCGAAUUAAUACCGCAUGUGAUUAGAGAGGACAUCCUUUCAAAAUUAAAGUCGGGGCAACCUGACGCUUCUUGUGGGGCCCGCGGCCUAUCAGCUAGUUGGUGAGGUAACGGCUCACCAAGGCUUUGACGGGUAGCUGGUCUGAGAGGACGACCAGCCACACUGGGACUGAGACACGGCCCAGACACCUACGGGUGGCAGCAGUCGAGAAUUUUUGACAAUGGGGGAAACCCUGAUCGAGCGACGCCGCGUGGAGGAUGAAGGUCUUCGGAUUGUAAACUCCUGUCAUUUGGGAACAAGGUGCACACGUUAACUGCGUGCGUAUUGAUAGUACCAGAAGAGGAAGAGACGGCUAACUCUGUGCCAGCAGCCGCGGUAAUACAGAGGUCUCAAGCGUUGUUCGGAUUCAUUGGGCGUAAAGGGUGCGUAGGCGGCGCGGUAAGUCGGGUGUGAAAUCUCGGAGCUUAACUCCGAAACUGCAUUCGAUACUGCCGUGCUUGAGGACUGGAGAGGAGACUGGAAUUUACGGUGUAGCGGUGAAAUGCGUAGAUAUCGUAAGGAAGACCAGUGGCGAAGGCGGGUCUCUGGACAAGUUCCUGACGCUGAGGCACGAAGGUCAGGGGGAGCAAACGGGGAUUAGAUACCCCCGUAGUCC